AGCCAAAGGCGUAAACACAACCAACUUUGGCCCAGCAGAGAGAUUUGAACGGAGCCCUCCCGGCGGCACAGGACAAAUACGUCUUCUGAGGGACGACGCGCCCAGAUUUGCUGACCAGAGCAUCCGUGUUAUUGGAGGAAAGCCCGGGAGAGCCAAGUGUCAUCUCGAACGUGCUGAAUCUAGCUCCGCGCUUACAAGGGGACCUGGGCUUUGUCACUGGAUAAUUUUCUGCCAGCUGCCACCCACGAAUAAGCAAAUAAUGGCUCAUCGAGCGCAUUCUCCCACGGCAGGCUCCUCAGCCGGCCGGACACCAGCCUCAGCAUGUUCCUCAACCAUGUGCCAGACGCGCGCAGAGAGGUUUGCCCACCACCAGUGGACACCCUGUGGGCCCGUGCUGAGAUCCUUCCUGCUCACGCGUGACACUUGGCAGAAUGUCCUUGGUUCAUGUUAAGCAUGGUAUUAAAACAUCCUUUUUUU
Long non-coding RNA from Herpailurus yagouaroundi (jaguarundi), 477 nucleotides. RefSeq lists it as uncharacterized. The record is from RefSeq and is a predicted model, not a curated record. The transcript is spliced from 2 exons. NCBI's taxonomy places the organism in Eukaryota, Metazoa, Chordata, Mammalia, Carnivora, Felidae.